This 75-nucleotide transfer RNA is filed under the name Actinomycetes bacterium. RNAcentral describes it as "tRNA-Lys". It matches the Rfam family "tRNA". Rfam says of the family: Transfer RNA (tRNA) molecules are approximately 80 nucleotides in length. Their secondary structure includes four short double-helical elements and three loops (D, anti-codon, and T loops). The record is from RNAcentral. RNAcentral also lists the same sequence under 3 other names. Lineage: Bacteria; Bacillati; Actinomycetota; Actinomycetes.
GGGAUGCUAGCUCAAUGGUAGAGCUGCGGACUUUUAAUCCGUAGGUUCGGGGUUCGAGCCCCCGGCGUCCCACCA